UUGGAGGGCAAGUCUGGUGCCAGCAGCCGCGGUAAUUCCAGCUCCAAUAGCGUAUAUUAAAGUUGUUGCAGUUAAAAAGCUCGUAGUUGAAUUUCGGGAUUAGUACGUUGGUCGUGCCUUCGGUACGUACUGGUGUUACUGGUUCCUACCUUCUGACGAACCAUCAUGUCAUUAAUUUGGUGUGGCGGGGAAUCAGGACUGUUACUUUGAAAAAAUUAGAGUGUUUAAAGCAGGCUCGCGCUUGAAUACAUUAGCAUGGAAUAAUGAAAUAGGACGUUGACCCUAUUUUGUUGGUUUCUAGGAUUGACGUAAUGAUUAAUAGGGAUAGUUGGGGGCAUUAGUAUUCAAUUGUCAGAGGUGAAAUUCUUGGAUUUAUUGAAGACUAACUACUGCGAAAGCAUUUGCCAAGGAUGUUUUCAUUAAUCAAGAACGAAAGUUAGGGGAUCGAAGACGAUCAGAUACCGUCGUAGUCUUAACCAUAAACUAUGCCGACUAGGGAUCGGAUGAUGUUAUUUUUAAUGACUCAUUCGGCGCCUUACGGGAAACAAUCACUA
This 554-nucleotide ribosomal RNA is filed under the name uncultured Glomus. RNAcentral's name for it is "SSU rRNA". It matches the Rfam family "Eukaryotic small subunit ribosomal RNA", at positions 548 to 1105 of the family's 1831-position model. Lineage: Eukaryota; Fungi; Glomeromycota; Glomeromycetes; Glomerales; Glomeraceae. The record is from RNAcentral.